AAACUGAGUAGUAUUAAAUAGUACGGAUCACUUACAAUGAUCAAGUCCAAUAGAAAAUUUAUGGCUUAGUUUU
Molecule: transfer RNA, 73 nt
Filed under: Cerion tridentatum costellata
Lineage: Eukaryota; Metazoa; Mollusca; Gastropoda; Stylommatophora; Cerionidae
Description: tRNA-Val
Source: RNAcentral